UCCUCGCUAGUAUAUCGGUUAGUAUAUUCGCCUCUCAGUCGAGAGCUGCCAGUGCACGAGCAUCUCAAGCAAGGCAUGACCGCGAAAGAGCAGGGUUCAACUCCCUGGCGGGGAA
Cutaneotrichosporon oleaginosum is the source of this 115-nucleotide non-coding RNA. The record is from the annotation of a RefSeq genome assembly. NCBI's taxonomy places the organism in Eukaryota, Fungi, Basidiomycota, Tremellomycetes, Trichosporonales, Trichosporonaceae.